Molecule: ribosomal RNA, 497 nt
Filed under: uncultured bacterium
Lineage: Bacteria
Description: partial 16S ribosomal RNA
Rfam family: Bacterial small subunit ribosomal RNA
Source: RNAcentral
GAUGAACGCUGGCGGCGUGCCUAAUACAUGCAAGUCGAGCGAACAGAUGAGGAGCUUUCUCCUCUGACGUUAGCGGCGGACGGGUGAGUAACACGUGGAUAACCUACCUCUAAGACUGGGAUAACUUCGGGAAACCGGAGCUAAUACCGGAUAAUAUAUUGAACCGCAUGGUUCAAUAGUGAAAGACGGUUUUCGUGUCACUUAUAGAUGGAUCCGCGCCGCAUUAGCUAGUUGGUAAGGUAACGGCUUACCAAGGCGACGAUGCGUAGCUGAGCUGAGAGGAUGAUCGGCCACACUGGAACUGAGACACGGUCCAGACUCCUACGGGAGGCAGCAGUGGGGAAUCUUGGACAAUGGGCGCAAGCCUGACGCAGCAACGCCGCGUGAGUGAAGAAGGUCUUCGGGUUGUAAAGCUCUUUUAUUAGGAAAGAACAAAUGUGGAAUAAACUAUGCCCGUCUUGACGGUACCUAAACAGAACGCCACGGCUAACUACGUG